RNAcentral lists this ribosomal RNA (490 nucleotides) under uncultured bacterium. Its description in RNAcentral is "partial 16S ribosomal RNA". It matches the Rfam family "Bacterial small subunit ribosomal RNA", at positions 30 to 507 of the family's 1533-position model. The record is from RNAcentral.
AUUGAACGCUGGCGGCAGGCCUAACACAUGCAAGUCGAACGGUAACAGGAAGAAGCUUGCUUCUUUGCUGACGAGUGGCGGACGGGUGAGUAAUGUCUGGGAAACUGCCUGAUGGAGGGGGAUAACUACUGGAAACAGUAACUAUUAUCCCAUAUCGUCCCAACACCAAAAAGGGGGACCUUCUGGCCUCUUGCCAUCGGGUGUGCCCAGAUGGGAUUAGCUAGUAGGUGGGGUAACGGCUCACCUAGGCGACGAUCCCUAGCUGGUCUGAGAGGAUGACCAGCCACACUGGAACUGAGACACGGUCCAGACUCCUACGGGAGGCAGCAGUGGGGAAUAUUGCACAAUGGGCGCAAGCCUGAUGCAGCCAUGCCGCGUGUAUGAAGAAGGCCUUCGGGUUGUAAAGUACUUUCAGCGGGGAGGAAGGGAGUAAAGUUAAUACCUUUGCUCAUUGACGUUACCCGAAGAAGAAGCACCGGCUAACUCCGUG